This 469-nucleotide long non-coding RNA is filed under the name Lotus japonicus. RNAcentral's name for it is "long non-coding RNA (LJAP_LNC001978)". Lineage: Eukaryota; Viridiplantae; Streptophyta; Magnoliopsida; Fabales; Fabaceae. The record is from RNAcentral.
GUAAAGGAAAAAACUGGGAUGAAAUUAGGAGAAAGGGGUAGGAGAAAAGAUGAAAAACAAAGAGAUAAGAUGAAGGAUAAAUGUGGAGGAAAUGCUCAUUACAACCCAAAGUCCCAAAACAUUAAGCAAAAACGCAAAUUAAGUUUGAUUUCAGAAACAAAAUGGAGUAUGAUCACAAAGCAUUGAAGAAGCGGUGGUGUAGGAGCAAAUGGUGGUGUUGGGACGGUGGAGAUGAUGAGGGAGAAAGAUGGAAUUUUAUCAAAAAUAGAGGAUAUUUUUGUCUAAUUACUUUAAAAAUGAAACUGAAGCACCGUGUGUCAGUUUGAAACUGACACACGGUAGACGCAGCCGAUUUGUUUGUUUUGAUCAUGGUGUUUUAUCUGUUGAGCAUUGGGUUAAGAAUCAUUGAGUUUUGUACAAUCAAAUAAUCACUUUGGUAGUUUGGUUCAUAUAUGAUAUAACUAUGGAA